ACUUGACCUCAAAUCGGGUAGGACUACCCGCUGAACUUAAGCAUAUCAAUAAGCGGAGGAAAAGAAACUAACAAGGAUUCCCCUAGUAACGGCGAGUGAAGAGGGAAGAGCUCAAAUUUUGAAUCUGGCGUCUUCGGCGUCCGAGUUGUAAUCUAAAGAAGUGUUUUCCGCGAUGGACCGUGCACAAGUCUCCUGGAACGGUGCGUCAUAGAGGGUGAGAAUCCCGUUUAUGGCACGGACUACCAUUGCUCUGUGAUACACUCUCGACGAGUCGAGUUGUUUGGGAAUGCAGCUCAAAAUGGGUGGUAAAUUCCAUCUAAAGCUAAAUAUUGGCGAGAGACCGAUAGCGAACAAGUACCGUGAGGGAAAGAUGAAAAGCACUUUGGAAAGAGAGUGAAACAGUACGUGAAAUUGUUGAAAGGGAAACGCUUGAAGUCAGUCGCGCUCAUUUGGAUUCAUCCUGGCUUUUGCCUGGUUUACUUCCUUGUGGGCGGGUCAACGUCAGUUUUGACCGGAGGAAAAAGCCUUAGAGAAAUGUGGCAGCUUGCUGUGUUAUAGUCUCUUAGUGUAUACUUCGGUUGGGACUGAGGACCGCAGCGCGCCUUACGGCCGGGGUUCGCCCACGUACGCGCUUAGGAUGUGG
RNAcentral lists this ribosomal RNA (643 nucleotides) under Chaetospermum gossypinum. RNAcentral's name for it is "partial 25S ribosomal RNA". It matches the Rfam family "Eukaryotic large subunit ribosomal RNA", at positions 1 to 628 of the family's 3401-position model. The record is from RNAcentral. Lineage: Eukaryota; Fungi; Basidiomycota; Agaricomycetes; Sebacinales; Sebacinaceae.